GGGAUGCUGCUGUCUAGCUGUUCUUCAGGCUGCAAGUGUGGGAUUUCAUGUCUGAACAAACCAUUUCAGCACCGGCCUGUGAAGAAGAUGAAACUGGUUGAGACUGAGAAAUGUGGUUCGGGGAUUGUAGCUGAUGAAGAUAUCAAACAAGGAGAGUUUGUAAUUGAAUAUGUUGGAGAAGUAAUUGAUGAUAAAACAUGCGAAGAAAGGCUAUGGAACAUGAAGCAUCGUGGGGAGACAAACUUCUAUCUGUGUGAGAUCAAUCGAGAUAUGGUAAUUGAUGC
Molecule: unclassified non-coding RNA, 284 nt
Filed under: Hevea brasiliensis (rubber tree)
Lineage: Eukaryota; Viridiplantae; Streptophyta; Magnoliopsida; Malpighiales; Euphorbiaceae
Source: RNAcentral